AUGGUAGGAGAGCGUUCUAAGGGCGUCGAAGCAUGAUCGCAAGGACAUGUGGAGCGCUUAGAAGUGAGAAUGCCGGUGUGAGUAGCGAAAGACGGGUGAGAAUCCCGUCCACCGAUUGACUAAGGUUUCCAGAGGAAGGCUCGUCCGCUCUGGGUUAGUCGGGUCCUAAGCUGAGGCCGACAGGCGUAGGCGAUGGAUAACAGGUUGAUAUUCCUGUACCACCUAGUAUCGUUUUAAUCGAUGGGGGGACGCAGUAGGAUAGGCGAAGCGUGCUGUUGGAGUGCACGUCCAAGCAGUAAGGCUGAGUGUUAGGCAAAUCCGGCACUCAUAAGGUUGAGCUGUGAUGGGGAGAGGAAAUUGUUUCCUCGAGUCGUUGAUUUCACACUGCCGAGAAAAGCCUCUAGAUAGAUAACAGGUGCCCGUACCGCAAACCGACACAGGUAGUCAAGAUGAGAAUUCU
Molecule: ribosomal RNA, 460 nt
Filed under: Staphylococcus epidermidis
Lineage: Bacteria; Bacillati; Bacillota; Bacilli; Caryophanales; Staphylococcaceae
Description: partial 23S ribosomal RNA
Rfam family: Bacterial large subunit ribosomal RNA
Source: RNAcentral